Long non-coding RNA from Haliotis rubra (blacklip abalone), 685 nucleotides. RefSeq lists it as uncharacterized. The transcript has 4 exons. NCBI's taxonomy places the organism in Eukaryota, Metazoa, Mollusca, Gastropoda, Lepetellida, Haliotidae. The record is from RefSeq and is a predicted model, not a curated record.
AAAUAGCCUUAAUUUUUGUUAGUCUUUCACACGUCUUGAAACAUAGCACUCCUAGGAAAUUGCAGAAACUUUAACGUCUUCCAUAGAACUGCUGGAACGUCCAACUGAUAGGCCUGGGCGAAGACUAUUUAGAAUUCAAACUGUUGUGUGUGUGGGUAGUUGUGGUCUCCGAUGACCGAUUGGACAUACAGACACACAUAAAAGACAUACAUUUGCCGUUGCAAUCGGAGAGAGAUAGUACUUAUAUCGAAUAUUGAAGGUGCAAAGCUGCUGCCCGUGACCUUUCACCUGUAAUGAAAGCUGUAGAUUGCCUCCUCAUCAGCGCCCUUUCGUGCCUACUCCUCACACCGUCUACAGGAUUCACUACAGGCUUGCUUGACAUGAUGCAUCCCCAACAGAAGAGGUCGUCCUUCCUGAACCUAGCGUUCUAUCAGAUAUAUGACCUUUGUGAUUCCGACCGAAAUGGCCACUUCACGGCGAAUGAAUUCAAGUGUGUCGAUGACCUUGUUCACAUCUACUUCGGCAGAAGGUGAUGCGACUCCCCAGCAACGUCCACACACCAUAUGGAUCUGGACCAGACUGGUCCACGGGGUGCGUCGAGGGAUGACACGAUGUUAACGUUAUUCUAACUAUGGUUCUACAUCAUUUUCUGUACUUCCGUCAUGAAUAAAACGUCCCAAUACAG